ACAGUGAAGAAGGAAUGCAGGAAGAGUCUCNGGAUCAGGAGCCCACAGGCUGGACUCACACCAGCUACUGCAGAGUCAGAACGAAGACUCANGAGGGAUGGCUCCACAGCAAGAAUCACCCUUUGUCUGGACCAGAGCCAGAAACAUGGGGCUCAUGCUGAGAAAGGCUCCAACCCCCGGUUCCCACUUAGGGUCCACCUUGGAAGACNGGACUGUAGCUGUUCNUUGCGGACAGUGCAGUCACUGGCAGAGAGAGAUGGGAGCUGAAACACAAGCCACAGACCUCAGGUUAACCCAUGGCAACCCUCGGCACAGCCAGGGGCUUGGCUACUCGUUCUGGUGCCCCGUGGCGCAGCUCAGGACCUUAGAGUCUAAUCAUCAGCUCGGAUCAGAGGGCAACUUGGGCCGCCUACCUGAGGCCGUGGCCGCCGUGGCGUCUGCUUUGUCUGGAACCAGCCUGAUGCCAUCAGACACGUCCACCUGGUGAUCAGCCUCCUCCCUUGAGGCCCCAUCAUGCUGUGGUGACAGAGGAUUGCUUCUAACGUGUUCCUUGCAGAUGAUGAAGCACCAGCAGUCGGACAUGAGGCUGUGAUGUCAAAGGAACAUGAGGUCAAGUUGCAGAUCGAAGGAUUGCUGCUUCGGACAAGAACAAAGCCACUAGCUACAGUCUUUAGCAUUGAUUCUGA
Molecule: long non-coding RNA, 686 nt
Filed under: Mus caroli (Ryukyu mouse)
Lineage: Eukaryota; Metazoa; Chordata; Mammalia; Rodentia; Muridae
Description: lncRNA (MGP_CAROLIEiJ_G0004107.1)
Source: RNAcentral